CUUGUAAUUACCGAGUUCGAAGUGACUGUGAAGACAAAGGACAGGAAGACUCUCCAAAGGGCAGCCUCCGACGUGGUGAGAGGCGCGCGCUGGGAGCAGGGGAGGGGUGGGGAGCGAUUUUGCGCCGCGUUGGGUCCUCCGCAGGCUCAGGUGUGGGCGGACAGGUGGCGCCACCUCCUUCCAAGCCCUUCUUGCCUAGUAGGGGAGGCAGCCUGUGCCCGGACCCAGCAUCCUGAGUGUAGACCUGGGAGCCGUGUGUCGCCCUGUGAAGAAACACCCGGGAUGGCUGCGAUUUGCUUGGUUAACCGACAGGCGAGGUUAAAGUCGUUUUCUCAAAACUUGCAAGUGAGACCGGUCAUCCUCGCUUUCACUGGCGGGAAGGCGGGCUCAGAGAGGUAAACGCACCGUGUCCGAGGCCACAGUCCCGACAGCAGAGAAACCGGAACUCGACCCAGGAAAUGGAGCAGAGAGAGACCACACAGCAGGUAAAUGGCAGAAGCAAAAUUUGGGACCAGGCAGCAUGACUCUGGAUCCCAAACACUCAGCCACACAUCAGAUUGGCCCAAAGUCUUCUGAAGGCUACAUCAAGAUGCUGUAUCUUUCUUUCCCUGGGGCAAAAAUAUUUUCCUCUUCUACUUACAAUGGAAAGACAAUGUCCCAGACAGGUUCAAAGUGACAAGUUGCAAUGAGAGUCUCUCUGAAAUCUGUGAAGUUGACACAAUAAAUCUGUGAUUCUUCUGUUCCUAUG
Manis pentadactyla (Chinese pangolin) is the source of this 748-nucleotide long non-coding RNA. RefSeq lists it as uncharacterized. The transcript is spliced from 3 exons. The record is from RefSeq and is a predicted model, not a curated record. Lineage: Eukaryota; Metazoa; Chordata; Mammalia; Pholidota; Manidae.